GACGAACGCUGGCGGCGUGCUUAACACAUGCAAGUCGAACGGAAAGGCCCUGCUUUUGUGGGGUGCUCGAGUGGCGAACGGGUGAGUAACACGUGAGUAACCUGCCCUUGACUUUGGGAUAACUUCAGGAAACUGGGGCUAAUACCGGAUAUGAGCUCCUGCUGCAUGGUGGGGGUUGGAAAGUUUCGGCGGUUGGGGAUGGACUCGCGGCUUAUCAGCUUGUUGGUGGGGUAGUGGCUUACCAAGGCUUUGACGGGUAGCCGGCCUGAGAGGGUGACCGGCCACAUUGGGACUGAGAUACGGCCCAGACUCCUACGGGAGGCAGCAGUGGGGAAUAUUGCACAAUGGGCGGAAGCCUGAUGCAGCAACGCCGCGUGCGGGAUGACGGCCUUCGGGUUGUAAACCGCUUUCGCAUGUGACGAAGCGUGAGUGACGGUAAUGGGUAAAGAAGCACCGGCUAACUACGUG
RNAcentral lists this ribosomal RNA (468 nucleotides) under uncultured bacterium. RNAcentral's name for it is "partial 16S ribosomal RNA". It matches the Rfam family "Bacterial small subunit ribosomal RNA", at positions 28 to 507 of the family's 1533-position model. The record is from RNAcentral.